CUGCCGGCCGGGCAGCGGGCCGUUCUCGCUGACCGGGCAGCCGAACGCGAUGGGCGGCCGCGAGAUGGGCUACAUGGGGCCGGGGCUGCCCGGCCAGCGCUCGGCGCUCGACGGCGACGACCGCCGCUUCGUCGAGGAAAUCUGGGGCUUGCCCGCCGGCACGAUCCGGCCGGACGCGGGCGGCGGCACCGUGGACCUGUUCGCGAGGAUGGCGGCGGGCGACGUGAAGGCGUGCUGGAUCAUCUGCACGAAUCCGGUCGCGACCGUCGCGAACCGCAAGAACGUGAUCACCGGGCUGCAGGCGGCCGACGUGGUGAUCGUGCAGGACGCGUUUCUCGACACCGAGACCAACCGCUACGCGGACAUCCUGCUGCCGGGCGCGCUGUGGGCGGAAGCCGAGGGCGUGAUGAUCAACUCGGAGCGCAACCUGACGCUGAUGCGGCAGGCGCUCGAGCCGCCCGGCGACGCGUGGCCGGACUGGCGGAUCGUCGCGGCGGUCGCGCGCGGGAUGGGCUACGGCGAUGCGUUCGACUAUGGUUCGGCCGCCGAGGUGUUCGACGAGAUCCGGCGCUUCGCGAAUCCGAACACGGGCUAUGACCUGCGCGGCGCGAGCCACGCGGCGCUGCGCGCCACGCCGUUGCAAUGGCCGUGCCCGCCGGAGGACGGGCGCGACCGCCACCCGAUCCGCUACCUGAACGACGGCGCGAGCCGGCCGCGCGUGACGCUGCCCGACGGCCGCGUGCCGCCGCUCGCGUUCCCGACGCCGAGCGGCAAGGCGCGCUUCUUCGCGCGGUCGCACGUCGCGCCGGCCGAGAUGCCGACGCCCGAAUUCCCGAUCGUGCUGAACACGGGCCGCCUGCAGCAUCAAUGGCACACGAUGACGAAGACGGGCAAGGUCGCGAUGUUGAACAAGCUCGAUGCGCGCCCGUUCGUCGAAAUCCAUCCGGACGACGCGGCCGCGCUGUCGAUCGCGGCGAACGACGCGGUGGAGAUUCGCUCGGCGCGCGGGCGCGCGGUGCUGCCCGCCGUCGUCACCGAUCGCGUGCAGCCCGGCGCGUGCUUCGCGCCGAUGCACUGGAACGACGUCUACGGCGACGAUCUGUGCGUGAACGCGGUGACGAACGACGCGGUCGAUCCGGUAUCGCUGCAGCCGGAACUCAAGUUCUGCGCGGUCGCGCUCGCGCGCGUCGACGCGCCGGACAGCGCCGAUGCUGGCGCGCACGCCGGCGCCCAUGCCGCCCCGUUACACGAAACCGGCUCGCGCGAAGCCCAAGCGCAGGCCGCCCCACGCGCGCACGAAGCGGCCUGCGCCGAUGCCGCCCCCGAGGAACACGACAUGUCCGACAUCGACACCUUCGCCGCGCUGCUCGGCGUUCCGGCCGCGACGAGCGCACCGCAGCUCACCGACGCGCAGCGCGUCUACGUCGCGGGCUUCGUGAGCGGGCUGCGCUCGGCCGAGGGCCGGCGCGCGGGCGGCGUGCCGAUGCUGCCCGCGAGCGCGCCGUUCGAUGCGAAAGCGCGCCUGUGGCUCGACGGGCUGCUCGCCGGGCUGUUCAGCCGCGCGCCGCUCGGCGCGACGGCGCGCGUCGACGCGCGCGCGGYUGCGGCCGCGGCCGUGCCGGCGCCGAGCGGCGCGGCGGACGCGGUGAGCGCGCCGAGCGGCGCGGCGGACGCGGUGAGCGCGCCGAGCGGCGUGCGGAUCGUGCGCACGCGGCCGAAGGUCGUGCUGCUGUGGGCGUCGCAGACGGGCAACGUCGAAUCGCUGACCGAGCGCUACGCGACGCAACUGAUGGACUCGGGCUUCGAGAUCCGCGUCGCGUGCAUGUCCGACUAUCCGGCCGCGUCGCUCGCGAAGGCGCAAUACGCGCUGCUGAUGACGAGCACGUUCGGCGACGGCGACGCGCCGGACAACGGCCAGGCGUUCUGGACGGCGCUCGCCGCGGCCGGCGCGCCGCGCGCCGACGGGCUGCGCUAUGCGGUGCUCGCGUUCGGCGACCGCAACUACGACCCGUUCUGCGGCCACGGCCGCCGGCUCGACGCGCGGCUCGCCGAGCUCGGCGCGACGCGGCUCGUCGAGCGCGUCGACUGCGACGCCGAAUUCCAGCCGGCCGCCGACGCGUGGCUCGAGCGUGCGAUCGCGCGGAUCAAGGAGGAGGACGCGGCGCUGCACGCGGUGCCGGCGGACGGGAUGAUCCCGUCGGGCGCAAUUCCGACGAAGACGCGUCCGGCCGCGUCGCGGCUCGUCGCGAACCUGCGGCUCAACGAGCCGGGUGCGGCGAAGGACACGCGCUGCGUGUCGCUGUCGACGGACGGCGCGGCGAUCGAAUACGAAACGGGCGACGCGCUCGGCGUGUGGCCGACGAACUGCCCGGAGCUCGUCGACGAGCUGCUGGCGUUGACGCGGCUGAAGCCGGACGCGCCGGUGACGGUCGCGGGCAUGGGCGAGCUGCGGCUGGCCGAUGCGCUCGCGAAGCAUCUCGACAUCACGCGGCCGCAUCCGGACGCGCUCGCGUUCGUCGCGUCGCGCAGCCGUGCGGGCGACGCGCUCGCGCGCCUGCUCGGCGACGAUCGCAAGACGGACCUGAAGCACUGGCUGUGGGGCCAGCAGCUCGCCGACGUGCUGCACGAGUUUCCGCUGGAGCUGUCGGCGGCCGAGCUCGUCGGCAUGCUCAAGCGCCUGCAGCCGCGCCUCUACUCGAUCGCGUCGAGCCCGAGCGCGCAUCGCGGCGAG
Molecule: ribosomal RNA, 2731 nt
Filed under: Burkholderia mallei 2002721280
Lineage: Bacteria; Pseudomonadati; Pseudomonadota; Betaproteobacteria; Burkholderiales; Burkholderiaceae
Description: 23S ribosomal RNA
Source: RNAcentral